CAGCUGGCAGCCCGGGCCGGGACCCCAGCGGCUUCCCGAGGCCUCGAGGCUGGAGGCAGGGCCUGUCCCCUCGCCCCCACGCUGGGGCUGUGGAGGGCCUGGCCCACAUCCGUGUUCCAAAACUGGGUCUCUUGUCCCCUCAGUCCCUCCGUGGCCAAAGGGGUCUCUGGGAGUCGGGGUGGGCCAGCUGGGAGGCGACCACACACCGAGGCGCCCAUUGGCGCGUGCGCACUGUUCUGGCACGUGCGCACUGUUCUGGCACGUGCUUGCUGGGCGGGGCUCCGGGAGGCCGCCCCUCCCCCUUUGCCUGGCAACCAGAAUUUUGGGCAGGGAGAGCGGCUUGGCCAUAGACAGCCUGCGGGAGGCCCGGUUUGUGCUGCCGCGUGGGGCCUCGAGGCGCGUUGUCAGGCAGCUUCACUUGGCUAACACCUCCUGCCCUAGGAGGAGCAGGUGUUGGGGAGUCGUGGUCGAAGCCGGCUCCCAGGGAAAGAGCCAGGGCAAGCAUGCAGGCCCGUGCCGGCGGCUCCGGUGUUGCGGGUGGCCAGGAAGAUGGCCAGGGUGGCAGCAGAAACCUUAAUGGCCAGGGUGGCGCCGGAAACCAGGGUGGCGUGGGCUCAGCAGGCGUCUCUGGCGACUAUGAUGGCACAAACGCGACAGCCGUUUCGCCGAUUGCUCUUGUACCUAACAGCAGAGGGCAGAUUGUCCUGAUGUCUACUUGCCCGGCGAUGCGUCGACACGCACUCACCCUCAGGGUGCUUUUCGGGUCUCCCAUCGAGGCGGAGGUCGCCCAAGGAUUCCUGGCUAUUUUCGACGAAUACCCCAGCAUUGACAGGGAGCUCACCAUGACCGGCAGCAUUCUGGUUGUGUCAGUCCUGGGAGGGUUUGGCUUUGCGGGGAGGGUGGCCAAAGUACAAGGAGGG
Molecule: long non-coding RNA, 920 nt
Filed under: Chinchilla lanigera (long-tailed chinchilla)
Lineage: Eukaryota; Metazoa; Chordata; Mammalia; Rodentia; Chinchillidae
Description: lncRNA (ENSCLAG00000028753.1)
Source: RNAcentral